Molecule: transfer RNA, 107 nt
Filed under: Colletotrichum tofieldiae
Lineage: Eukaryota; Fungi; Ascomycota; Sordariomycetes; Glomerellales; Glomerellaceae
Source: Rfam by way of RNAcentral
GGUCUGGUGGUGUAGUUGGUUAUCACGUCAGUCUAACAUUCAGAGCCUACCUUAACUCGGCUUGUAUGUUCCACUGAAGGUCUCCGGUUCAAGCCCGGGCUAGAUCA